Long non-coding RNA from Symphalangus syndactylus (siamang), 364 nucleotides. RefSeq lists it as uncharacterized. The record is from RefSeq and is a predicted model, not a curated record. Lineage: Eukaryota; Metazoa; Chordata; Mammalia; Primates; Hylobatidae.
CACAGAUGCAAGAGGGUCUCAAAUUUUUUGCGGUUUUGAAGGACAUCCCUCCUCACUGCCAUUGAAGUUAGUCUUCUGAUAUGUACCACCACCACAAAGCAACAGACCUGGGUGGAGCCAAGAUGGCCGAACAGGAACAGCUCCAGUCUACAGCUCCCAGAGUGAGCGACGCAGAAGACAGAUUUCGAAGGUAUUCUGAAGAAUUCAAUGGAGAGAAAGUAUAAAAAGAAUAACAGGUAUGAGACUCAUGUGACCUUAAACGGAUCAAUACCUAAUGCCACACACUUUCCAAAAGUGGCAUUAUUCCUGGAUCAUUAUUUAAGAUAAUAAAGAGGUUACCUUGUCUAAUUAAAAAUUUGAAAAA